Medicago truncatula (barrel medic) is the source of this 2109-nucleotide RNA transcript. It is a transcript of the gene named F-box protein At5g46170, with no coding region annotated. The record is from RefSeq and is a predicted model, not a curated record. NCBI's taxonomy places the organism in Eukaryota, Viridiplantae, Streptophyta, Magnoliopsida, Fabales, Fabaceae. The transcript is spliced from 3 exons.
CAUAGCUUGACACCAAACACAAUCACAGCCCAUAAAUCAUAAUAUCUCUCUCCCUUUAUCUUUUCUCUCCAUUCUAUUCUAUUGUAGUAUUGUCUAUAUGUAAAGACAAAACCAUAACCGUAGAUUUGUCUCAUCAACCUCAUUUCCCAUUUUCAUCUAAAUCUCAUUUCUCAAUUCUUCUUCAGAUCUACCCCCAAAUCACACCCCCUUUUCUCGAUCUACACCACCAUGUGUUCAAUUCGCGCAGAUCAACAACCAAAUCGGAUCUACCCUGAACCCUCCUAUUUCCCUCAAAUCGAUCACUUCGAUCGAAUCCCCGAUUCUCUUCUCCUUCUUGUCUUCAACAAGAUCGGUGAUGUUAAAGCUCUUGGUCGAUGCUGUGUUGUUUCGCGUCGUUUUCACUCUUUAGUCCCGCAAGUUGAAAACGUUGUUGUUCGUGUUGAUUGUGUAAUUUCCGAUGAUGAUUCGAAUUCAUCUGUGAAUUCGAGUGAUAAAUCUCGUGGUCCGUUUUGGAAUUUGUUGAGGUUGGUAUUUGGUGGAAUUGCUAAGCCGAUUCAAACUUUAGGUCAAUUUUUGGGUCCGAAAAGGGGAUCGAAUUCGUCGGUGAAUUCUGGUUCUGGAUCUUCGCCUCUUGCUGUUGGAAGUGAGGAGGAUGGUGAUGGUGGUGUUACACAUCAUUCACCUACUCAGGUUUUGAAGAAUUUUAACGAGAUUCGUUUGUUAAGGAUUGAGCUUCCUAGUGGUGAAUUAGGGAUUGAAGAUGGGGUUUUGUUGAAAUGGAGAGCUGAUUUUGGUUCAACUCUUGAUAAUUGUGUCAUUUUAGGUGCUUCUUCGGUUUUUCAACCAAAAUCUCAAGAUGGGGUUGUUGCUGUUGAUGGUGGUGGUGCAAAUAACAAUGGUGGUGAUGAUAAUGGAAGCAUACCGGAUUCGUUUUAUACGAACGGUGGAUUGAAAUUGAGGGUAGUUUGGACAAUUAGUUCAUUGAUUGCUGCAUCUGCAAGGCAUUACUUAUUGCAACCAAUAAUUUCGGAGCAUAAGACAUUGGAUAAUUUGGUGUUAACUGAUGCAGAUGGUCAAGGUGUGUUGUAUAUGAACAGAGAUCAGCUUGAGGAGUUGAGGGUGAAGCCGCUUUCGGCUUCCUCGGCUUCGAAGAGGACACUUGUUCCUGCUCUUAAUAUGAGGCUCUGGUAUGCGCCUCAUUUGGAGUUGCCUGAUGGGGUUGUUUUGAAAGGAGCUACUCUUGUUGCCAUUAGGCCUAGUGAAUUGUCACCUACCGCUGGUAAGAAGGAAGGAUCUGAUUUGUCUUGGGUUUCGACCGCGUUUGAAGAGCCUUAUAGGUCCGCAGCUGCGAUGCUUAUUAAGAGGAGGACUUAUUGCCUUGAGAUGAAUUCCUUUUGAUGCUUUUUGCUCCCUUAUAAGUUGUGGAUACAUCAAAAAACUUAAUGUCGCAGCUCAGAUUGCAAUCAUGGACUUUUUUAACCUUGUGUUUGCCUACAAUCUGAAUCUGCCUGUGUCUCCUUUUAAUUAUGCUUGUUUCAAAGAAUUCUCUCAGGGAAUGUAGAAUCAUUUAAGAACAGGGGAACAUGAAGUUCCUGAUAUAGAAAGGAAUCAGAAAACACAGUUUGUUUGGAAGCAGCCCGGCCAACCUGAAUCUUGCUCUUUCCAGCUUCUGAUCAAGUGCAGCCCCCCUAUGAGUAGUAAUUAUUAUUAUGAAAAGAGCUGCAAAUCAUUUACCUAUCUUGCUUGAACUGAGAUACUGAAUGCAUCUGCUGGUUUUUAAAAUUUAUGGCAAUGCUUUUAUAAGACCUGCAACUAGGAUGAUCUUGUUGUAAGAUCUUUGAGUUUGUUGUAGUUAUAUGCCCUUUUCAGGUCACCAUCUGUGAAUAUUCUAGGUUAUUUAUCCGUUUGGUUUGCAUUUGUGAUAUAUAUUGUUCUCAAGUUAAAUGAGCAAUGUACUUUUGCUUCUGUAAUUUUAAAUAACUUCUGGAUGAGUCAAUCAUACGGUGCAAUUGUUCCUGCACUUAACUGUCAUAUUUAGUAACAACUACUUAUGAGUGUAUUUGUUGUAAACAGUUCAAUAAAUCAUGUGAUUCAUGCCAAGGAGUUGAA